Molecule: ribosomal RNA, 275 nt
Filed under: uncultured bacterium
Lineage: Bacteria
Description: partial 16S ribosomal RNA
Rfam family: Bacterial small subunit ribosomal RNA
Source: RNAcentral
GACGAACGCUGGCGGCGUGCUUAACACAUGCAAGUCGAGCGGUAAGGCCUUUCGGGGUACACGAGCGGCGAACGGGUGAGUAACACGUGGGUGACCUGCCCUGCACUUCGGGAUAAGCCUGGGAAACUGGGUCUAAUACCGGAUGGGACCAUUCCAUGCAUGUGGGGUGGUGGAAAGUCGGUGCUGUUGUGGUGUCGGCGGUGGGGGAGUGGGCCCGCGGUCUAUCAGCUUGUUGGUGGGGUGGAUGGCCUACCAAGGCGACGACGGAUAGCCGG